This 211-nucleotide ribosomal RNA is filed under the name uncultured bacterium. Its description in RNAcentral is "partial 16S ribosomal RNA". It matches the Rfam family "Bacterial small subunit ribosomal RNA", at positions 123 to 334 of the family's 1533-position model. The record is from RNAcentral.
AACCUGCCUUUCAGAGGGGGACAACAGUUGGAAACGACUGCUAAUACCGCAUGACACAUUGGAGUCGCAUGGCUCUGAUGUCAAAGAUUUAUCGCUGAAAGAUGGCCUCGCGUCUGAUUAGCUAGUUGGUGAGGUAACGGCCCACCAAGGCGACGAUCAGUAGCCGGACUGAGAGGAUGACCAGCCACACUGGGACUGAGACACGGCCCAG